Prinia subflava (tawny-flanked prinia) is the source of this 1420-nucleotide long non-coding RNA. RefSeq lists it as uncharacterized. NCBI's taxonomy places the organism in Eukaryota, Metazoa, Chordata, Aves, Passeriformes, Cisticolidae. The transcript is spliced from 2 exons. The record is from RefSeq and is a predicted model, not a curated record.
UUCAGCAACCCAAUGAGUUUUUCCUUCAGAAAGGCACUUCUCUGGGACCUUAAGAGAAGGAAUACAACAACAUUUGCAUGGAUUCAUCUUGCAAAAGAGACCAAAUGCAUCCCCACCUUUGCAGCCAUAAGGUCACUUCUGGGUUUGACAUCAAGAGCAUUAGUCUGCACAACUGCAUCUACUCUCAAAACUUGUGGGGCUGGGAGUGGAGUCCCAUACCUGUAGUGCUGAGUUCUGAGUAUGUUAAACCCUUUCUGGCACUAUCAAAGUAACAUUUUAUGCUUUGUACAUUUCCAGUCCUGCUGAAAAACUGCUGUUCCUGACUUGAAGCCAAAUCUGAACUUUCUUUUUAACAGCUGGCUACCCUUGUGACUAACCACUCAGGAGUGCUAUUAUUGUCUUCAGUGCCAGACUCCUACAACAUGCAGAUAGAAGCGGUUUUUAUUUCCUUCAGUUCCUGCUAAACUGACAUGCAUUCCACUCUCCUGACUGAGGCCUUUUCAAGUGGUAAUUUCUUUAACAGCAAAGAAAAAUCAAUUCAAAUUAAGAUAGGAGUGUGAGACCAAACUUUCUCAUCAAGUACUGCAAGCAAUAAAUCAUUAAAAAGUUAAUAACCUUAAAUAGCGUGAUAUUUGAUGAUCACCACAGUGGCAUUAUAUUUAAAAAUGAGAUAGCAUAAUCUGUACUCAUAGUGCCAGCCUUCAUGUUUUGUCUUAGCCUAACCUUGAAACACCUGAGAUGUCUCCAGCAUCUGCCUGACUGCCUACCUGUCUUCCUGGGCUUUAGGCAGGCCUCUCUGUUGGAGCAGAGAGGAGCUCUGUUUAAUCUGCUGCUCCAGAAAAUCCUCAAACCUCCUCGACACACAGAUCACAGAUAGCAUGUGAUACACAAUGUGAAGUCUAUCAUGUAAGUUAAACAUCUUGUUUUACUGCUACUUCAUGACCACAUCAACUGUGCUAAACAAAUACAGUGAGGAAAGAAAUGGAUAACAAUCAGCAACAUGAAAUUGUUCGCAGUGCUGAAUACAAAUUUUGAAUGAAUCACCACAGAAACUAAAUUUAAAGGACAUGAAUUCCACAGAUUUUAAAUAACCAUUCUGAGAUAUCCAAAUAAGUAUGGGAUUCACUGGAACAUAGGUCAGAAAAGGUCUCCAAGUGCAGCUAUCAAGCAUAAACAUGAAGUUCUUCCUAACUAGCACACACAAAGGUCAGAGUGAGCAAGGGCCUCUUAUCUUUUUGAGAAAAAGUUCUUGUAUCUUUUUGAAGUGGGAAGAUUUACAUCAGCUGAAGUGAAAAAGACAAGCUGUACAGAAUAUAGACAGUUUCAACACUGUCAUGCUUCUGAUACACCUCUGUUACAAGGGCCUAUGUGACCUGAAGAUUUCUCUGAAAUAAACCACGCAGUAUGUUUAUGUAUACAA